CAAAGAUUAAGCCAUGCAUGUCUAAGUAUAAGCGAACUUAUACAGUGAAACUGCGGAUGGCUCAUUAAAACAGUUUGAAUUUAUUUGAUGAAUGUAUGAGAAUACUAUUUGGAUAACCGCAGUAAUUCUAGAGCUAAUACAUGCAACGACGCCCGACCGUUUCACUACGGAAGGGCUGUAUUUAUUGGAUACCAAAACCAUCCUUCCCUCGGGAAGUUUUGUUUGAUGAUUCACAAUAACUGAUCGGAUCCCCACUGUGGUGGCGACAGGUCAUUCAACAUUCUGCCCUAUCAGCUUUCGAUGGUUGUGUAGUGGACAACCAUGGCCAUAACGGGUAACGGAGAAUCAGGGUUCGAUUCCGGAGAAGGAGCUUGAGAAUUGGCUACUACAUCUAAGGAAGGCAGCAGGCGCGCAAAUUACCCAAUCCCGAUUCGGGGGGGUAGUGACAAAAAAUAACAAUACCGGGCCUCUUUGGGCUUGGUAAUUGGAAUGAGGGAGAGUUAAACGGACCAUCGAGUAUCCAUUGGAGGGCAAGUCUGGUGCCAGCAGCUGCGGUAAUACCAGCUCCAAUAGCGUAUAUUAAGUUGUUGCAGUUAAAAAGCUCGUAGUUGGACUUGUGUGCGCUGUCCGCGGGUGGCCUGCGCCCAAAAGGGCGUUUCGGUUCGGCCCCGGUGGCGCCUUGAAAUCUGCAGCUGGGGGGACGUUGGCCUUAACUGGUCGGCGACCGCACGCCGGCUGCUCGGUUACUGUGAGAAAAUUAGAGUGUUCAAGGCAGGCAUUGGGUGCAAUUGAAUACAUUAGCAUGGAAUAAUAAAAUAUGGCUCCUGCCGUAUCUUGUUGGUUUUGACUGGUGGGAGUAAUGAUUGAUAGGGACGGUUGGGGGUGCUAGUAUUGAGCGGCCAGAGGUGAAAUUCAUGGAUUCGCUCAAGACUAACUUAUGCGAAAGCAUUCACCAAGGACGUCCUCUUUAAUCAAGAACGAAAGUUGGGGGAUCGAAGACGAUCAGAUACCGUCGUAGUCUCAACCAUAUCUAUGUCGACUUGGGAUCGGCGGUAGUUUUUUCAUUAAGACACUGUCGGGACCACGGGAGAAAUCAAAGUGUCUGGACUCUGGGGGAAGUAUGGUCGCAAGGCUGAAACUUGAAGGAAUUGACGGAAGGGCACCACCAGGAGUGGAGCCUGCGGCUUAAUUUGACCCAACACGGGGAAACUUACCAGGUCCAGAGAUGUAGAGGAUUGACAGAUUGAAGCUCUUUCUUGAUCGCUUCGGUGGUGGUGCAUGGCCGUUCUUAGUUGGUGGAGUGAUUUGUCUGGUUAAUUCCGUUAACGAACGAGACCUCAGCCUGCUAGUGUAGUCGGCUGGAUUGC
RNAcentral lists this ribosomal RNA (1367 nucleotides) under metagenome. Its description in RNAcentral is "SSU rRNA". It matches the Rfam family "Eukaryotic small subunit ribosomal RNA", at positions 38 to 1371 of the family's 1831-position model. The record is from RNAcentral.